Apodemus sylvaticus (European woodmouse) is the source of this 1132-nucleotide long non-coding RNA. RefSeq lists it as uncharacterized. NCBI's taxonomy places the organism in Eukaryota, Metazoa, Chordata, Mammalia, Rodentia, Muridae. The record is from RefSeq and is a predicted model, not a curated record. The transcript is spliced from 2 exons.
CUGGGCCUGAGCAGUCACCAUCACCAGGGAGGCUGCUUUACUGGUGCUGCCUCUGACAAAGCCCCUUCUUCAGCUUCACUGACCACAACUUGUCCCUGGAGAUGACAGUCCCAGUCAAAAUGGCUCUUGAAACCUCCAGUGCCUUCUCCAUGCUCAGUCCCAGCACGAGGCCAUCUUACCCAAUCGUCCGAUGUCUGCUUCUCUGUCUCUCUCCCUACCACCCUUCCUUUGAUGGCUGCACCUGGGCCCCUGCUCCCCUGCGUAGCCAGUAUUUCCACCAACAGAAGUCAAGCAGGCUGCUCCACCUAGAGUAUGCCCCGCCCCACUGCCGCCACCCACACAUUGAAGCCCCAACCCCGCAGGACUCCUCAACAUGAUUGUAAGGGAUCACCAAGUUAAGAUGAGAUCACAAAAAUAGACAGUGGUCCGGUGUGACCGGUGUACUUGAGAGUAGGGACACCAAGGACAUCCCAGAGGGAAAAGCCAGGAGCCCGCAGUGGGAAAAGGCAGCCUCGGACACAGAGCCGCCACAGCAGGAACCAGCCUCACCUUGGAUUCUGCCGACGCCCAGCCUCUGGAACUGGGAAAUCCAGUUCUCUUCUUGCAGUUGUUUCUCCUGGCAGGAUGGCUCUCGUAAACAAUAAUAGUAAUAAUAAUAACGAUUUCAGGGGGAAAGGAGUUCAUCGCCCGUGAAGCAAGCCAAGAAGCCGCACCUGCAGGCUGGCAGAGCUAUCACUGGUCCUGAGGCCUCGAGACAGGAUAUGGUCCUAUAAGAGUUUUCCAAGAAGUGGACGAGGGGAGGGAGACCCACCCAGAAGGUGGGCAGCUCCUUCCCAUGAGCUGGGGUCCCUGUCUGAAUCAAAGGGGGAAAUCAGCCGAGCAUCUGAUUCAUCUGUCUCUGCUUCCCAACUGUGGACACAACGUGACCAGCCAUCUCAUACCCCUGACUGCAUUUCCACCAUGAUGGACUCUAUCUCUAAGUGUGGACCAGAAGAAAACUUUCUUUCAUUACUUGCUUUUGGGAGGCAUUUUGUCACAGCCAUAAGAAAAGCAGCUAGCAUACCAUCCACAGAGCCAACCAACAAUGGGUAGAAAAUAUUCAGGGGGAAAUAAAGGCUAUGUAUAUUCUAAA